CCUACGGGGGGCAGCAGUGAGGAAUAUUGGUCAAUGGACGAGAGUCUGAACCAGCCAUGCCGCGUGAAGGAUGAAGGCGUUUGCGUUGUAAACUUCUUUUAUCUGGGAAGCGGUACCAGAGGAAUAAGCACCGGCUAACUCCGUGCCAGCAGCCGCGGUAAUACGGAGGGUGCAAGCGUUAUCCGGAUUUACUGGGUUUAAAGGGUGUGUAGGCGGACUUUUAAGUCAGCGGUGAAAUCUCCGGGCUCAACCCGGAAACUGCCAUUGAUACUAUUAGUCUUGAAUAUUGUUGAGGUAGGCGGAACGGGUCAUGUAGCGGUGAAAUGCAUAGAUAUGACCCGGAACACCGAUUGCGAAGGCAGCCUACUAAGCAAUAUUGACGCUGAGGCACGAAAGCGUGGGGAUCAAACAGGAUUAGAUACCCUUGUAGUC
Molecule: ribosomal RNA, 432 nt
Filed under: uncultured bacterium
Lineage: Bacteria
Description: partial 16S ribosomal RNA
Rfam family: Bacterial small subunit ribosomal RNA
Source: RNAcentral